Long non-coding RNA from Carassius carassius (crucian carp), 329 nucleotides. RefSeq lists it as uncharacterized. The record is from RefSeq and is a predicted model, not a curated record. Lineage: Eukaryota; Metazoa; Chordata; Actinopteri; Cypriniformes; Cyprinidae. The transcript is spliced from 3 exons.
UCUGAUGACGACAUUGAUGUCCAAUUUCCUAAAGUUUUGCAAACUCCAGUGCCAGUCAGAUGACUGAAGAGGACCACUGCCCUCAGCAGAAAGGGGAUGUCCAGUGUCCUAUAUGUGGCAUAUCCUUCCCAGUCCUGCUUAUCUAAGAACAUGCUAGCCAUUGUGGCCAAAGAACGGAGGACACAACCUCACCUGAGAGGGAACUCCAUACUGAGACAGAUGAUAUCUCAUGGUAUGUCCGAGUUUUUAUUAAUGUAGCAUGUAAGGGAUUGUUCACUCCAAAAUGAAAAUGCACCCAUUAUCUAGACACCCUUGUGCGAAUGGAACUG